This 214-nucleotide unclassified non-coding RNA is filed under the name Glomeraceae sp. RNAcentral describes it as "partial contains 5.8S ribosomal RNA and internal transcribed spacer 2". The stretch from base 1 to 71 matches the Rfam family "5.8S ribosomal RNA", at positions 84 to 154 of the family's 154-position model. The record is from RNAcentral. Lineage: Eukaryota; Fungi; Glomeromycota; Glomeromycetes; Glomerales; Glomeraceae.
GUGAAUCAUCAAAUCUUUGAACGCAAAUUGCACUCUCUGGCAUUCCGGAGAGUAUGCCUGUUUGAGGGUCAGUUUAUAUAAAAAUCGAGUGGUUUCUGUUAUGUGACCCAGCGGAAGUGGGUUAGCUUUGACCUUGUAUGAAGUUUAAGUUAGCUAAAAUUGAUACCUUGUUCAUCUCAUACUUACAUAAGAAUAUUUUUUUAUCCGUCCGGAG